RNAcentral lists this ribosomal RNA (334 nucleotides) under uncultured bacterium. RNAcentral describes it as "bacterial SSU rRNA". It matches the Rfam family "Bacterial small subunit ribosomal RNA", at positions 355 to 686 of the family's 1533-position model. The record is from RNAcentral.
UAAGGAAUAUUGGUCAAUGGAGGCAACUCUGAACCAGCCAUGCCGCGUGCAGGAAGAAGGCCCUAUGGGUCGUAAACUGCUUUUGAACAAGAGAAAACCCCGGUACGUGUACUGGGUUGAUAGUAUUGUUAGAAUAAGCAUCGGCUAACUUCGUGCCAGCAGCCGCGGUAAGACGAAGGAUGCAAGCGUUAUCCGGAUUCAUUGGGUUUAAAGGGUGCGUAGGCGGACUGAUAAGUCAGUGGUGAAAUCUCUCGGCUUAACCGAGAAACUGCCAUUGAUACUGUUAGUCUAGAGUACAGAUGAUGUGGGCGGAAUAUGACAUGUAGUGGUGAAA